UGAGUUAACUGCCCUUGGCCCUGUGA
Molecule: non-coding RNA, 26 nt
Filed under: Rattus norvegicus (Norway rat)
Lineage: Eukaryota; Metazoa; Chordata; Mammalia; Rodentia; Muridae
Source: RNAcentral